Molecule: ribosomal RNA, 446 nt
Filed under: uncultured bacterium
Lineage: Bacteria
Description: bacterial SSU rRNA
Rfam family: Bacterial small subunit ribosomal RNA
Source: RNAcentral
CCAGACUCCUACGGGAGGCAGCAGUGGGGAAUAUUGCACAAUGGGCGAAAGCCUGAUGCAGCAACGCCGCGUGAAGGAAGACGGUUUUCGGAUUGUAAACUUCUGUUCUUAGUGAAGAAUAAUGACGGUAACUAAGGAGCAAGCCACGGCUAACUCCGUGCCAGCAGCCGCGGUAAUACGGAGGAUGCGAGCGUUAUCCGGAUUUAUUGGGUUUAAAGGGUGCGUAGGCGGAAGGUUAAGUCAGCGGUCAAAUGUCGGUGCUCAACACCGGCCUGCCGUUGAAACUGGUCUUCUUGAGUGAGCGAGAAGUAUGCGGAAUGCGCGGUGUAGCGGUGAAAUGCAUAGAUAUCGCGCAGAACCCCGAUUGCGAAGGCAGCGUACCGGCUCCACACUGACGCUGAGGCACGAAAGCGUGGGUAUCGAACAGGAUUAGAUACCCCGGUACA